Schistosoma haematobium is the source of this 45-nucleotide non-coding RNA. NCBI's taxonomy places the organism in Eukaryota, Metazoa, Platyhelminthes, Trematoda, Strigeidida, Schistosomatidae. The record is from Rfam.
AUUCAGCUGACGCGUCUCAAACAGGACGAAACGCGCGUUUUGGAU